RNAcentral lists this ribosomal RNA (449 nucleotides) under Charonia variegata. Its description in RNAcentral is "partial 12S ribosomal RNA". It matches the Rfam family "Bacterial small subunit ribosomal RNA", at positions 718 to 1384 of the family's 1533-position model. The record is from RNAcentral. Lineage: Eukaryota; Metazoa; Mollusca; Gastropoda; Littorinimorpha; Ranellidae.
AAUUCGAUAUAAGUUAUAAUGUAUUGAAUCCGCGAUAGCCUUGAGGGAAACUGGGAUUAGAUACCCCAUUAUUCUUGGCCGUAAAUAGAUAAAAUCUACCAGAGUACUAUGAAUCAUUUCAAAAAUUUAAAACUCAAAGGGCUUGGCGGUGUUUUAGACCUUUCAGGGGAACCUGUCUCAUAAUCGACAAUCCACGCUAAACCUAACCUUUUUUUGCAAAACAGUUUGUAUACCGUCGUCGUCAGGUAACUUUUAAAAAAUUAGAAGUUGGCAAUAAAAUCAUAGUAGAUUUAAACGUCAGAUCAAGGUGCAGCUCAUAUAAAGGUGAGGAUGGGUUACAAUUAACAUUUAUAAUUACGGAUAAAACAAUGAAAUUCUUAUUUUAGUGAAGGCGGACUUGGAAGUAAAAAUAUUUAUAUAAAUAACUUGAAUAAGGCUCUGAAACAUGC